CUUCGAUUCUUCUGUUGUUGAUAUUCAUUCAAUAGGUAUAGCGUAAUGGAAAGAUUAUAUUAUUGCUACUAUGCCCCCCACCCACACCCAGAAAAUAAAAACAGGAAAAAUAAAAAUAAAAAAAUAUAUUAUGUGUGUGUAUAUAUUAUUGGUACUAUACAGUCUAUUUAACCGGCAUUUUCAUGGUACAAUAUUCAAUUUCACAUGCUUGAUCCUGUCUUCCUUGUAUUUAUUUUAACAAAGUCUAUUUGUUUAUAAUCUUCUUCUGUGUAUGCAUAUAGUUACAUAUUUGCAUGGGUAAUAUAUUCAUAACUUUUCUUAUGAUUCUCCACUGAUGGAUUUUGAACAUUAAAGUUUCAGAUUCUCUAAAUAUAUUUGAAUUUAGAUUGGAAGGUCGUUUGGACUUUUUCUGUUUCACCAUAUUUGAUUAUGGGUAGUUUGGCAGGUUUAGUUGUUUUUAGAAUAGACUAUGUUAGGUUAUAUUAAGCAAUAUGCUGAUUUUCUUCUCUAACAAGCUUGAUAUGAGCUGCACUAGCUUGCUAAUUUAAGUGCCCAGUUUAAAUUAAGAAGAUUAACAUACACCAUGAGGCAAAUGACACUAGUCAAAAUCGGAAACAAACUAUCAACACGCUAUCACAUUACAAGAUGUUUAGUGCAUCAACAUACUUGAAUUUUAAAAAUUUUAGCUUGACAUGAAUGAAAUGAGAGAAUUCUUCACUAGAUAAUCAACCAUGACUAUAAAGAUCGAAGAAUAUGAAAACAGCGAGCUAAGUUACAAUCUCCUUGCCUAAGAAAAAAUUACACACUUAAGGGGUUCCCUCUAUAGCUCAAUUCAACCUCAAAGGAGAAUUCAGUUUUACAAUCCUCUCACUAGUUAAAGGGAUUGGAAGUGUUCAAAGGUUAGAGGAACUUUCGUUCUUAACGCAAGGUUAGAUUUCUUGAGUGGAAAAACUUUGAACUUCUCUAGGGGGAGUGACUUUUAUAGCCUUCAAGGUUCGAGGUAGUUAAGGAAAGUCAAAGUCCAUGCAACCAACUUCCCAGGUGGUUUCGGAGUCCAAGGAGGAUCUGGAUUGAAAAUGACGGUCAUUUGUUUUGACCAGCAAAAAUGGUGGGUCAGCAGUUUAAGAAUGAAUGCAGCUGCAUUUUGUUUUGCCUUGUGGGAAAUGGGGCCACAUUCUGACAAAAUAAUAGAAUUCAUGCAAAUAAGUCAAAAUGAAUUAAUACAUUACAAAAUUGACAUUUUUACAUCUAGAUACAUUAAAUGAACACAAAAGAGUCUUGGGUUCAUACUAUUCCUAGAUACUAUUUCUAUUUCAUACAAAAGAGUCAUACUAGUUUUACCUCUAGAGACACCAAUUCGCCUGGGCAUGGUUUUAUGAUGAAACUUCAGGGUUUGAAAGUUAUUAUCCGGGAUUGGAAUACCAAUCGUCGUAGUGAGGUUACUAAUCUUCAUUCCCUAAUCUCACAAUUAACCAAUUUAGAUGUCCUGGAAGACAACCAGGCCCUUAAUGAGGAACAAAUUAAUAGACGUGUUCUUCGUGAACAAAUUGAAAAUAUGACUAUUCAAGAUCAUUUCCAUUGGCAGCAGCGUUGUAAGCUGAAAUGGCUUCUUGAGGGUGAUGAAAACACAUGGUUUUUCCAUAAAAUUGUUGCUGCCCGACGCCGUAAGUCCUCUAUUACGGAGAUUCUCUCAAGGGAUGGCACAAGUCUUUUGACUUCACAGGACAUUGAAGUUGAAUUCUUGUCUUUUUAUUCAUCCCUUUUCAAAAAAGACGGGGGUCAGCGAUUCCUUCCACUAAACCUUAAGUGGAAUCCUAUUUCACCUACUCAAGCCAUUGAUCUCGAGCGUCCUUUUAUUGAUGAUGAGCUAAUAGACAGAUUCUUGAUGCUUCCCUGAUGGUGAAUGAGCUCAUUGAUGAUUGGACCUCUCAGAAAAAACCAGGGGUUGUCUUAAAACUGGAUCUUGAGAAAGUUUUUGACAUAGUUGAUUGGGACUUCCUUGAUUAUAUACUCCAGGUUAAAGGUUUUGGUUGCCGCGGGUGUAACUGGAUCAGAGGAUGCAUUUCUAGUGCGAAUUACUCGAUCAUCAUUAAUGGCCGCCCUCGUGGCAAGAUUCUUCCCUCACGAGGCAUAAGACAGGGAGAUCCUCUCUCUCCUUUCUUAUUUAUCUUAGUGGCUGAUUGUCUGAGUCGUCUUAUUGAUCAUAGCUCUGCAUUGGGUCAUAUUAGUGCACAUCCUGUUGGCCAUUCUGAUUUUACUCUGAUUCAUUUACAGUUUGCUGACGACACGUUAUUGUUCUCUACUGCUGAAAGAACUGCCAUAUGGAACUUGUUUGAAAUUGUCCAUAUUUUUUAGUAUGCUUCUGGCCUUAAAAUCAAUCUUGUUAAGAUUGAGCUUCUUGGGAUUCAUGUCUCUGACUCUGAUUUUGACUGGUUGCUGCAUUCUUUUGGCCAGCUUCUUAUUUAGGGCUUCCUUUGGGUGGUAGUUCAAAAUCUGGUUUGUUUUGGCAGCCUGUGAUUGAGAGGUUUCAGCAUAAACUCCAUAAUUGGAAGUAUUCGGUCGUCACACGCUUAUUCAAGCUACUCUUUCUAGCCUCCUUACAUAUUAUUUGUCUCUGUUUAAGGCUUCUUCCUCUAUUAUUAAUUGCCUGGAUAGAUUGGUUCGGGAUUUCUUUUGGGAAGGCUCUCAUGGUGAUGGUGGUGUUCAUAAUGUGAAUUGGAUGGUUUCUCAGCAUCCAAAAUUAUUGGGAGGUCUUGGCAUAGGCAAUUUUAACCAUCGGAAUUUGGCUCUUCUUGUGAAAUGGGCUUGGCGGUUUUUAAUUGAACAUGAUGCUUUAUGGAGGAAGCUUAUUGUUGUCAAGUAUUAUUCUACUGAUUGUGUUUGGCCCUCCCUGUCAAUGGAGCUUCUUCCAAAUCACCAUGGAGGUAUGUUUGUCUGUCUUUUGAGUUGAUUGCUAAUCGAGUUAGUUGCCGCAUUGGGGAUGGUUCAUCUACGUCCUUUUGGAAUGACUCUUCGCUUAGUUGUGGAGUCCUUUCUACCACCUAUCCACGGCUUUUUCGUCUUGUACAACAUUCUGAGGUUACAGUUGCUAGUGUUUGGAACUCAUCUAUGACUGCAUGGAAUUUGGACUUACGUCGUAAUCUUAAUGAGUUAGAGAUUGCUGAGUGGGCCUCAUUAUCCUUUCACUUGACACCAAUCCGAUUGCGUGCUACCCUUGAAACUUGGUUGUGGCCUCUUGAUCUAUCUUUGGGCUUUACUGUCAAGUCUCUUAUGACUGAUUUGGAAGGUGAUCUGGAUUCAGACUUGACUGAUCUUUAUUCGGUGAUUUGGAAGGAUAGAUAUCCUAAGAAGAUUAAAAUCUUCUUUGGGAACUCAGUUGGGGUGCCAUUAAUAUUUAAUACUGCUGAUCAUUAGCAACGUCGUAUGUCUUACAUGUCUCUUUCUCCAUCUUGGUGUCAUAUGUGCCAUGAACAUGCUAAAUUGUCAGUUCAUCUAUUUUUUCAUUGUUCUUUUGCUACUGGCAUUUGGAACCUUCUCUUGCCUCAUUUUGCUUGGAAUUUCACUUGUCCACAUGAUAUUUCUGAUGCUUUGGUCUCGGUGUUAGUGGGACAUCCUUUUGGUGGAACCAAGAAGGUCAUUUGGUUGGCUUUUAUCCGUGCUUAUGGAGUGAAAGGAACGGACGGCUUUUUCAUGAUACAUGUUCUUCUUCUGUUAGGUUUUUUGAGUUAGUUUUAUCUACCGCUUUUUCUUGGUGUAAAUUACAGCACCCUUUCACUCAUUUCAUUUUAUCUUUCUUAGUCAAUAAUUGGCACUCUAUUGUAAUUCUUCGGGGUCUUCCCCUUAUUCAUAUUAAUAAAGUUUCUUUUACCCAAAAAAAAAAAAAAUUCUACUUUGGCGACUAA
This is a non-coding RNA of Benincasa hispida (wax gourd), 3902 nucleotides long. Lineage: Eukaryota; Viridiplantae; Streptophyta; Magnoliopsida; Cucurbitales; Cucurbitaceae. The record is from RefSeq and is a predicted model, not a curated record.